GACGAACGCUGGCGGCGUGCCUAACACAUGCAAGUCGAACGAAGCACUGUGUGUUGAGACUUCGGUUGAUUCACACUUUGACUUAGUGGCGGACGGGUGAGUAAUGCGUGAGCAACCUGCCUUGGAGUGGGGGACAACAGUUGGAAACGACUGCUAAUACCGCAUGAUGUAUUCGGAGGGCAUCCUCUGAAUACCAAAGAUUUAUCGCUCUAAGAUGGGCUCACGUCUGAUUAGUUAGUUGGUGAGGUAACGGCUCACCAAGACUGCGAUCAGUAGCCGGACUGAGAGGUUGAACGGCCACAUUGGGACUGAGAUACGGCCCAGACUCCUACGGGAGGCAGCAGUGGGGAAUAUUGGGCAAUGGGGGAAACCCUGAUGCAGCAACGCCGCGUGAAGGAAGAAGGUCUUCGGAUUGUAAACUUUUGUCGCAAAGGAAGAUAAUGACGGUACUUUGUGAGAAAGCCACGGCUAACUACGUGCCAGCACG
Molecule: ribosomal RNA, 487 nt
Filed under: uncultured bacterium
Lineage: Bacteria
Description: bacterial SSU rRNA
Rfam family: Bacterial small subunit ribosomal RNA
Source: RNAcentral